Carassius gibelio (silver crucian carp) is the source of this 324-nucleotide long non-coding RNA. RefSeq lists it as uncharacterized. Lineage: Eukaryota; Metazoa; Chordata; Actinopteri; Cypriniformes; Cyprinidae. The record is from RefSeq and is a predicted model, not a curated record. The transcript has 3 exons.
AGAAUAUCAAAACUGGCCUUAUCAUGUGGUGUUUGUCUUCAACACUCUCAUCUUGCUUGUGAGUGGAAUAAUUAAUAUACUGCUAUGUAAAAGACUGAGAAGACAGAGUGAAAUGCAUGCAGAAGUUUCAGACCCUUCUUCACCAGACAUAACAGAACCUGAUGUCAGUUCUUCUCAUAAUCAAGAUAGUCCGAACCCAAACUACACAACCCUACAAUUCCCUGAAAACAAUGCCAGUGGAGAGAGUUCGGGGAUUGAGCCAAGAAUGACGAGAAAGGAUACAAUUUAUUCCAGCCUUAAAUGUCAAAUGUCAGACAUCACUGA